RNAcentral lists this ribosomal RNA (483 nucleotides) under uncultured bacterium. RNAcentral's name for it is "partial 16S ribosomal RNA". It matches the Rfam family "Bacterial small subunit ribosomal RNA", at positions 28 to 507 of the family's 1533-position model. The record is from RNAcentral.
GAUGAACGCUGGCGGCGUGCCUAACACAUGCAAGUCGAACGGAGUCGUUUUGGAAAUCUCUUCGGAGAUGGAAUUCUCGACUUAGUGGCGGACGGGUGAGUAACGCGUGAGCAAUCUGCCUUUAAGAGGGGGAUAACAGUCGGAAACGGCUGCUAAUACCGCAUAAAGCAUUAAAUUCGCAUGUUUUUGAUGCCAAAGGAGCAAUCCGCUUUUAGAUGAGCUCGCGUCUGAUUAGCUAGUUGGCGGGGUAACGGCCCACCAAGGCGACGAUCAGUAGCCGGACCGGAGAGGUGGACGGCCACAUUGGGACCGAGGAACGGGCCAGACUCCUACGGGAGGCAGGAGGGGGGAAUAAUGCGCAAAGGGGGAAACCCUGACGCAACAACGGCGCGGGAAUGAAAGAGGGCUUCGGGGUGGAAAGAACCUUAAUCAGGGACGAAACAAAUGACGGUACCUGAAGAAUAAGCUCCGGCUAACUACGUG